This 415-nucleotide ribosomal RNA is filed under the name uncultured bacterium. RNAcentral describes it as "bacterial SSU rRNA". It matches the Rfam family "Bacterial small subunit ribosomal RNA", at positions 954 to 1370 of the family's 1533-position model. The record is from RNAcentral.
UGGGAACGCGAAGAACCUUACCAGGGCUUGACAUCCUACUAAUGAAGCAGAGAUGCAUUAAGUGCCCUUCGGGGAAAGUAGAGACAGGUGGUGCAUGGUUGUCGUCAGCUCGUGUCGUGAGAUGUUGGGUUAAGUCCCGCAACGAGCGCAACCCCUAUUGUUAGUUGCUACGCAAGAGCACUCUAGCGAGACUGCCGUUGACAAAACGGAGGAAGGUGGGGACGACGUCAAAUCAUCAUGCCCCUUAUGUCCUGGGCCACACACGUAAUACAAUGGCGGUCAACAGAGGGAUGCUAAGCCGUGAGGUGGAGCGAACCCCUAAAAAGCCGUCUCAGUUCGGAUUGCAGGCUGCAACUCGCCUGCAUGAAGUCGGAAAUCGCUAGUAAUCGCGGAUCAGCAUGCCGCGGUGAAUACG